This 492-nucleotide ribosomal RNA is filed under the name uncultured bacterium. RNAcentral describes it as "partial 16S ribosomal RNA". It matches the Rfam family "Bacterial small subunit ribosomal RNA", at positions 29 to 507 of the family's 1533-position model. The record is from RNAcentral.
AGUGAACGCUGGCGGUAGGCCUAACACAUGCAAGUCGAACGGCAGCACAGUAAGAGCUUGCUCUUACGGGUGGCGAGUGGCGGACGGGUGAGGAAUACAUCGGAAUCUACUUUUUCGUGGGGGAUAACGUAGGGAAACUUACGCUAAUACCGCAUACGACCUACUGGUGAAAGCAGGGGAUCUUCGGACCUUGCGCGAUUGAAUGAGCCGAUGUCGGAUUAGCUAGUUGGCGGGGUAAAGGCCCACCAAGGCGACGAUCCGUAGCUGGUCUGAGAGGAUGAUCACCCCCACUGGAACUGAGACACGGUCCAGACUCCUACGGGAGGCAGCAGUGGGGAAUAUUGGACAAUGGGCGCAAGCCUGAUCCAGCCAUACCGCGUGGGUGAAGAAGGCCUUCGGGUUGUAAAGCCCUUUUGUUGGGAAAGAAAAGCAGCAGGUUAAUACCCCGCUGUUCUGGCGGUACCCAAAGAAUAAGCACCGGCUAACUUCGUG